GACGAACGCUGGCGGCGUGCCUAAUACAUGCAAGUCGAGCGGACCAAAGGGAGCUUGCUCCUGGAGGUCAGCGGCGAACGGGUGAGUAACACGUGGGCAACCUGCCUGUAAGACUGGGAUAACAUCGAGAAAUCGGUGCUAAUACCGGAUAAUAAAAAGAACUGCAUGGUUCUUUUUUGAAAGAUGGUUUCGGCUAUCACUUACAGAUGGGCCCGCGGCGCAUUAGCUAGUUGGUGAGGUAACGGCUCACCAAGGCAACGAUGCGUAGCCGACCUGAGAGGGUGAUCGGCCACACUGGGACUGAGACACGGCCCAGACUCCUACGGGAGGCAGCAGUAGGGAAUCUUCCGCAAUGGACGAAAGUCUGACGGAGCAACGCCGCGUGAGUGAUGAAGGUUUUCGGAUCGUAAAACUCUAGUUGUUAGGGAAGAACAAGUGCCGUUCGAAAGGGCGGCACCUUGACGGUACUAACGAGAAAGCCACGGCUAACUACGUGCCAG
Molecule: ribosomal RNA, 500 nt
Filed under: uncultured bacterium
Lineage: Bacteria
Description: bacterial SSU rRNA
Rfam family: Bacterial small subunit ribosomal RNA
Source: RNAcentral